This 3144-nucleotide long non-coding RNA is filed under the name Sus scrofa (pig). RNAcentral describes it as "lncRNA (ENSSSCG00000056753.1)". Lineage: Eukaryota; Metazoa; Chordata; Mammalia; Artiodactyla; Suidae. The record is from RNAcentral.
UAAAAAUAGAACUACCAUAUGAUUCAGCAAUCUCACUUCUGGAUAUAUAUCUGAAGAAAAUGAAAACAGGAUAUCAAAGAUACAUCGGCACUCCCAUGCACACUGCAGCAUUAUUCACAAUAGUGAAGAUUAUAAACAACCUAAGUACUAGUCAAGAGAUUAAUGGAUAAAGAAGGUGUGAUAUAUAUGCAUAUAGUUAUGUUUAUAUAUGCACAGGGAAAUAUUAUUCAACCAUGAAUUUUUUUUAAAAAUCCUGCCACUUGCAAUAAAAUGGAUGGACUGUAAGAACACAAGGCUGGUCCUCAAAAAAAAGAUAAAUACUGCAUGAUAUUACCUAUAUGUAGAAUCUAAAAUGCUAAAAUCUUAGAAACAGAUAGGAGAAUGGUAGUUACCCUGGGCUAAGGAAGGUGUGGGGAAAUGUGGAGCUAUUAAUAAAAGGGUACAAAGUUGCAAUUAGAAGAUUAAUACAUUUUGGAAAUCCAGAGCACAGCAUAGUGAUUAUAGCCAACAAUAUUAUAUCAUACACUUCAAAUUGCUAAGGGAGUAGAUCUUAAGUGUUCUCACACAUACAAAAAAAGACAGAUAUAUGAGGUGAUGGAUAUGAUAUUUAACUAGAUGAUAUGAAUCCUUUAACAAUGUAUAGGUAUAUUAAAUCAGCAUGAGGACACAUUUUGUACCAUUUUGUGUGAAUUAAUUCCCAAUGAAGUUGAAAUUUCAAAAGGACAUAAUUAAAUGUAUUAUCUAAACUAUGAUUAGAUCUUGAUUAUGCAAAUGGUAUAAAGAAUUUUCACAAUAAUUCAGGAAUUCAAAUAUGUGAGGAUAUUAAAUCACAUUAAGAAAUAACUAUUAAUUUCCUAGGCUCUGAUAGUAGUAUCAUGACUAUGUAAAAGAAUGUCUUUUUUCUUUUUUUCAGGAGAAGCAUGUUGCAGUAUUGAAUUGCAAAGGAUCGUAUUUCUUUAAAAUUAUUUGGAAAUAAUAAAAAUAUAAUAUCCAUCUACAAUCACCUAUGUAGCAAAUAAGGCAAAAUGCCCUUACAACAGAGCAGAGGAUAUGUAUGUGCUAACUAUAUUUUCUUGCAUAAUGGUACAUGUUUGAAACCUAACAAAUACUAAAAAGACAAAGACAAAAAUGGGAAGAAAGUAAGCUCCACUUCUGAUAUGAUGCCACCAGGCUGAGGCAUCUUUAAGCAACCAGUCCUGGCCUGGCUUGUGAAUAGGGGAUAAAGGUAGUGAGGGUGUGCUAGAAAAAAAUAUGAAUUGUUCCAAGAUCAUCCAUCCUUUCAAGUGAGACUUGACUUGGUCUGUGAAAUUUCUGCCCAGAAACCAGGGAUGAGAAUAUAAGAGGAUGGAAGGUCAUUCCACUUCUUUUGGUAAACACAAUUUAAAAAUAGAGGGCUUAAAUAUAUGAUAAUUUACGGAUCAUACAACUAUCCUGUGAAGAAUUCAGUGCAGCCCAAAUUGACUUUCUUAUCCUGCUCGAUCCAUAAAAUAUGCUUAUUUUUUCCACUAUAUCUGUGUAUUUAUUUCAUAGCUCCCUGUCCAAAUCAAAGAGAAAUACUGUUUUGUCAAAAAUUGAAUUUCUUUUAGUUUGAGUUUUUAAUCAUUUAAUUUUGGGACUUCAGAAUUUUUCUGGAUGAAGUAGAUUAUGACUAUUAUGAAAACAUUAAAUGUUCCACUUGCCAAACUUAAACACACACACAGAAUGCCAGUGAGUCAUUAAUUUUUUUACAUCAAAUAUUCUCAAUCUGCUAAUAACAAACAUUUGGUUGAUCUCAAAAAAGUUUUUUACCAGGGGACUUGUGAUGAUAUAAUGUUCCAUAAUUCUCCUCCCUAAAUUCUCAUCUCAAACUCUUACAAUAUGUAUGAAAGCAUAUAUUCUACUUAGGUAUCCUUGAUAUUGAGUCCCUCAGCAUCUCCUAUCUCCAAAUUUCCUGGCAAUAUAGAGCACAGUAACCCAGGACUACUUACAAAUUUUAGUUAUGACCUGGUAGAGGUUUCUCAGUUUCUCUUCAUUAGUAAUAAAAUCAGAACCACAACCUUCACCAACAACACUUAUUGGGCUAUUCUGUGAGCCAAGUAAUUUUCUAAGAACAGUACUCAUACUAACGCCUUUAAUAUCCACAAUAGGCCUACUGUUAUUAUUUUGCACUUUAUAGAUGUGAAAAUUGAGUUUCAAAAUGAAUCCAAGGUACAUAUCUAAUAUGUGUUGCAGCUAGAAUCCAACAAACCCACAUGGGUUCAGAGUUCAAAUCCUUAACAGACAUGGUAUACUGCCUCCAAUGUAAAAACUUAGGCUCCUUCAGUGGUUGUUGAAAACUUUUUAACAGAUGAGUCCCAUGAAAUGUUAUGCACUAGCCCAGUUUUUAAGGCAAAUAACAUUAGAUUCUUCUGAUUAAAUCAAUACUGAUAAGUUUCUUGCCUUAUCUUACUUUUAACCUGACUGGACUCUGAUCACAAGGAAACCCUGGGACUCAAAUUGAGCAUGGCAAUUACUUUAAAAAUACUUUCCAAAAUAAAUUUAAGUGCAUACUUCCUAGACAAGCAAUAGAUUGGCUGAAUAAAAAUUGUGUAUAUUUUAAUUUUCCAGGUAAUUCUUCUUUUUAAAACAAUCCUAUUAGUGAAUUUUAUGGUCACAGUUAAAUCAAACUUUACUUUCUUUUUUGAUUUAUAAUUUUGUACUAUACUGUCUCACUUUUGUGGCAACACCUUCUAUUUUAAAGAUGAAAAAAGUAAUAGAUUUGCCUUUAAAGACUAAAAUUAAAAAAAGCUUAUAUCCUUUAAGAUCAAAUGAGAGAGAUCAUUUAGGAAAAAGUGGGAGGAAUUAUUGUCCAUGGAAAUGCAUCAUUUAUAAUUAGAUUAUUCUUAACUCAAUAUUCUAGUUAUAUUUUAUUCUUUAGUCUCUCCUCUUAAUCUUGAAUAUCUCCAAUUCUCAACACAAUUAAUCAUAAAUAAUUGUUAAAAUUUAUAAAAGUAAAAUGUAAUCUCUGACACUAAAUACGGUAUUAGAUAAUCUUUUGACAUCUUCUUUUAAACUAAUAUCAAAGUGGGAAAAGAGUUAAAAACAUUUUCCUUGGGUUAAUCUGCAUUAUUAAAUUAAGAUCCUAAAGCAAAUUAAGUGCCCAGUAAAAGAAAGCCAUUGCCAGGG